This is a long non-coding RNA of Ictalurus punctatus (channel catfish), 1629 nucleotides long. The record is from Ensembl. NCBI's taxonomy places the organism in Eukaryota, Metazoa, Chordata, Actinopteri, Siluriformes, Ictaluridae.
GUCUUUACAGCACCAUCUCCCAUAUUCUCCCCAUUUACCUGUGUUAUUAGCUGUUUAAGCUACUAGCCAGUCAGCUAUUUUCUCCUCACCUUCUGCAUAUCUACCUCCCUCUCACUCACUCUCCCCCCCCCCCCCCUUUCCCUCACACUCCUUUUCUCAUCUCCAGUUUGCCAAUUCUUGUUAUACUGUCCUUUUAAAAUGAUUUUAAAUGGUUCGUCGGCGUUGAUUUGCACGUGCGCUUACGGGACAUACGCAUGGACAUCAACCACUAUUUUAACCACUAUGCUAUUUUGAAAGUAGCUCAAAAAGCCUCAACCUGCAACCUUAUUAUUUUCACCCAUGACUGCAUUUUUGAAGUAGCCCAAUUUGGCUGGAAAAUCACUGACACGGCAACCCACAGACAGAACGGCCACACCGCCUUCACCGGAACUGACAGGAUCAGAGGCCGUGCCUCCUUCGCCACAACUGGCAGGAUCAGAGGCCACGCCUCCUGCACCAGAACUGACAGGAUCAGAGACCACACCUCUUUCAUUGGAAUUAACAGGAUCAGAGGCCACGCCUCCUUCAUUGGAAUUGACAAGAUCAGAGGCCACGCCUCCUUUACUGGAACUGGCAGGAUCAGAGGCCACGCCUCCUUCACCGCAACUGGCAGGAUCAGAGGCCACGCCUCCUUCACCACAACUGGCAGGAUCAGAGGCCACGCCUCCUUCAUUGGAAUUGACAGGAUCAGAAACUAUGCCUCCUUCCUUGGAACUGACAGGAUCAGAGGCCACGCCUCCUUCACCGGAACUGACAGGAUCAGAGGCCACGCCUCCUUCACCGGAACUGACAGCAUCAGAGGCCACACCUCCUUCACUGCAACUUCAUGUGCCACCUACAUGGUAUUAAAAGGUACAGAGGCCACACCUCCUUCAUCGAUACCUAAAGGCACGACAACAAAAAAACCUAAAGAACUCAUGUUUUAUCCUUGAGGGGCUUCUAUGUAGAACCUCUGAACAAGGGUUUCCUCAUCAAAUACAUCAAGUAGAACCAAAUUAGGUAUCUAAAACUCGAUCGUCUUUGAAAACACGAUCAGUGUCUACCAUGGCUAAAUGUAAUAAAAACGAAGAAAAAAAAAUAGGUGAUUUGAUUUUAUGCCUUUCUUUCUCAUAAUACGCUAUUAAAUCUAAUGAGUUUAUCAUCGGGGAGAACCGGUGGGAAAUCAUGCGUGUGAUUUGAUACGAUUUGCAUUUCUGUCGCCUGAUAAUCCAGCCUCCGUGAUUUGCGAGCAGGAUUUUAGGCACUGGAACGAGCUUCUCUUUCCCGGAACAAGCAGAUCGGUCUCUACAUUGGAUCGUGUCUGCCAAGCAAAGUGGAUUAGCCGCCCGCCCGCUGUUAUUGCGGCUUGAACGUUUCACUCCAUGUCCAGACUGGCCGUGGUGCUGUCGGAGCCUUGUGGGCUGUGGAGUGGAUUUGAUGUCGUCGUGGUUCCCGGGACCUCGACGUCGAGGAGCCGUCCUCCGACACACCGCAUCGUAUUUUCGAACCGCAAAUCAAAUCCCCGAGAUUACACGAAAUAAAAACGCGACCCGUUCACCAUCCUUCCACUUCCUCCGCACAGGGUCUGCUCCUCGGCAGGGAUGAACGACA